Molecule: ribosomal RNA, 809 nt
Filed under: Vibrio sp.
Lineage: Bacteria; Pseudomonadati; Pseudomonadota; Gammaproteobacteria; Vibrionales; Vibrionaceae
Description: bacterial SSU rRNA
Rfam family: Bacterial small subunit ribosomal RNA
Source: RNAcentral
UCGAGCGGAAACGAGUUAUCUUGAACCUUCGGGGAACGAUAACGGCGUCGAGCGGCGGACGGGUGAGUAAUGCCUAGGAAAUUGCCCUGAUGUGGGGGAUAACCAUUGGAAACGAUGGCUAAUACCGCAUGAUGCCUACGGGCCAAAGAGGGGGACCUUCGGGCCUCUCGCGUCAGGAUAUGCCUAGGUGGGAUUAGCUAGUUGGUGAGGUAAGGGCUCACCAAGGCGACGAUCCCUAGCUGGUCUGAGAGGAUGAUCAGCCACACUGGAACUGAGACACGGUCCAGACUCCUACGGGAGGCAGCAGUGGGGAAUAUUGCACAAUGGGCGCAAGCCUGAUGCAGCCAUGCCGCGUGUGUGAAGAAGGCCUUCGGGUUGUAAAGCACUUUCAGUCGUGAGGAAGGUAGUGUAGUUAAUAGCUGCAUUAUUUGACGUUACCUACACAAUAAGCACCGGCUAACUCCGUGCCAACAACCGCGGUAAUACGGAGGGUGCGAGCGUUAAUCGGAAUUACUGGGCGUAAAGCGCAUGCAGGUGGUUUGUUAAGUCAGAUGUGAAAGCCCGGGGCUCAACCUCGGAAUAGCAUUUGAAACUGGCAGACUAGAGUACUGUAGAGGGGGGUAGAAUUUCAGGUGUAGCGGUGAAAUGCGUAGAGAUCUGAAAGAAUACCGGGUGGCGAGGGCGGCCCCCUGGACAGAUACUGACACUCAGAUGCGAAGCGUGGGGGAGCAAACAGGGAUUAGAUACCCUGGUAGUCCACGCCGUAACGAUGUCUACUUGGGAGGUUGUGGCCUUGAGCCGUGGCUUUC